UGCAAGUCGAGCGGACAGAAGGGAGCUUGCUCCCGGAUGUUAGCGGCGGACGGGUGAGUAACACGUGGGUAACCUGCCUGUAAGACUGGGAUAACUCCGGGAAACCGGAGCUAAUACCGGAUAGUUCCUUGAACCGCAUGGUUCAAGGAUGAAAGACGGUUUCGGCUGUCACUUACAGAUGGACCCGCGGCGCAUUAGCUAGUUGGUGAGGUAACGGCUCACCAAGGCGACGAUGCGUAGCCGACCUGAGAGGGUGAUCGGCCACACUGGGACUGAGACACGGCCCAGACUCCUACGGGAGGCAGCAGUAGGGAAUCUUCCGCAAUGGACGAAAGUCUGACGGAGCAACGCCGCGUGAGUGAUGAAGGUUUUCGGAUCGUAAAGCUCUGUUGUUAGGGAAGAACAAGUGCAAGAGUAACUGCUUGCACCUUGACGGUACCUAACCAGAAAGCCACGGCUAACUACGUGCCAGCAGCCGCGGUAAUACGUAGGUGGCAAGCGUUGUCCGGAAUUAUUGGGCGUAAAGGGCUCGCAGGCGGUUUCUUAAGUCUGAUGUGAAAGCCCCCGGCUCAACCGGGGAGGGUCAUUGGAAACUGGGAAACUUGAGUGCAGAAGAGGAGAGUGGAAUUCCACGUGUAGCGGUGAAAUGCGUAGAGAUGUGGAGGAACACCAGUGGCGAAGGCGACUCUCUGGUCUGUAACUGACGCUGAGGAGCGAAAGCGUGGGGAGCGAACAGGAUUAGAUACCCUGGUAGUCCACGCCGUAAACGAUGAGUGCUAAGUGUUAGGGGUUUCCGCCC
Molecule: ribosomal RNA, 799 nt
Filed under: Bacillus aerius
Lineage: Bacteria; Bacillati; Bacillota; Bacilli; Caryophanales; Bacillaceae
Description: bacterial SSU rRNA
Rfam family: Bacterial small subunit ribosomal RNA
Source: RNAcentral